This 591-nucleotide long non-coding RNA is filed under the name Gallus gallus (chicken). RNAcentral describes it as "lncRNA (ENSGALG00010004382.1)". Lineage: Eukaryota; Metazoa; Chordata; Aves; Galliformes; Phasianidae. The record is from RNAcentral.
CAACAGAGGAACAAAAUUCAGACCUGAGUCCUGGUGGAAGUUCCAUGAUAUUAGAAUCCAUGGUCUUCAGCCAUUCCUUGAACUUCAGAAAAUUCACUCAGGUCUGGAAGAAGGAUAUGUUCCUUGAAGGGUGCCAGAUGGUGAAGACUGUUGAUUUGAAGAAGACUGUGCAGAAAGGAGGCUUCUCUAGCCUGUAGAAGGGGGCAUUUGGAUAUCAAGGUCCCAGCCCUGAUGCUAUCUAUACCUGAGAAGAACAUUCUGGUGGAACCCUGCCUCAAGGGAAGCCUUCCACAGAAAUGGAGCUCGCUGGGGCAGCUCAGGUUGAACACAUAGCACUGCCAGGCAAGGGACUCCUCAGCCACCCUUAUCAAGUGCCCUCUUGAUGCUCACUUUGGAUGUUCACGUGCUAGGCAUGACACUGUGCCACUGUGACCACCAGCAACAAAGCAGCUGAACUGACCUCAGAAGAAAGGCCAUGGGAUUUCUGCUUUCAUAUGUGGAUAUCUUCCCAUGAUUUAUGACACGGAUGGGGUCCAACCAGUUACAAGUUUUGUGGAAACCUGUAGUUGCUAAAUACAUUGAAAUCCCAAG